GAUGAACGCUAGCUACAGGCUUAACACAUGCAAGUCGAGGGGUAACGAGAGGGAAGCUUGCUUUCCUUGUCGACGACCGGCGCACGGGUGAGUAACGCGUAUCCAACCUGCCCCCAACUAGGGAAUAACCUUGCGAAAGUAAGACUAAUACCCUAUAAUUUCCUCAGAUGUCAUCUGACGAGGAAUAAAGAUUUAUCGGUUGUGGAUGGGGAUGCGUCUGAUUAGCUUGUUGGCGGGGUAACGGCCCACCAAGGCAACGAUCAGUAGGGGUUCUGAGAGGAAGGUCCCCCACACUGGAACUGAGACACGGUCCAAACUCCUACGGGAGGCAGCAGUGAGGAAUAUUGGUCAAUGGGCGGAAGCUUGAACCAGCCAAGUAGCGUGCAGGAUGACGGCCCUAUGGGUUGUAAACUGCUUUUAUACAGGAAUAAAGUUAGCCACGUGUGGUUAUUUGUAGGUACUGUAUGAAUAAGGACCGGCUAAUUCCGUGCCAGCCGCCGCGGUAA
RNAcentral lists this ribosomal RNA (506 nucleotides) under uncultured bacterium. Its description in RNAcentral is "partial 16S ribosomal RNA". It matches the Rfam family "Bacterial small subunit ribosomal RNA", at positions 28 to 523 of the family's 1533-position model. The record is from RNAcentral.